GAGCGAACGGACGAGAAGCUUGCUUUCUCUGAUGUUAGCGGCGGACGGGUGAGUAACACGUGGAUAACCUACCUAUAAGACUGGGAUAACUUCGGGAAACCGGAGCUAAUACCGGAUAAUAUUUUGAACCGCAUGGUUCAAAAGUGAAAGACGGUCUUGCUGUCACUUAUAGAUGGAUCCGCGCUGCAUUAGCUAGUUGGUAAGGUAACGGCUUACCAAGGCAACGAUGCAUAGCCGACCUGAGAGGGUGAUCGGCCACACUGGAACUGAGACACGGUCCAGACUCCUACGGGAGGCAGCAGUAGGGAAUCUUCCGCAAUGGGCGAAAGCCUGACGGAGCAACGCCGCGUGAGUGAUGAAGGUCUUCGGAUCGUAAAACUCUGUUAUUAGGGAAGAACAUAUGUGUAAGUAACUGUGCACAUCUUGACGGUACCUAAUCAGAAAGCCACGGCUAACUACGUGCCAGCAGCCGCGGUAAUACGUAGGUGGCAAGCGUUAUCCGGAAUUAUUGGGCGUAAAGCGCGCGUAGGCGGUUUUUUAAGUCUGAUGUGAAAGCCCACGGCUCAACCGUGGAGGGUCAUUGGAAACUGGAAAACUUGAGUGCAGAAGAGGAAAGUGGAAUUCCAUGUGUAGCGGUGAAAUGCGCAGAGAUAUGGAGGAACACCAGUGGCGAAGGCGACUUUCUGGUCUGUAACUGACGCUGAUGUGCGAAAGCGUGGGGAUCAAACAGGAUUAGAUACCCUGGUAGUCCACGCCGUAAACGAUGAGUGCUAAGUGUUAGGGGGUUUCCGCCCCUUAGUGCUGCAGCUAACGCAUUAAGCACUCCGCCUGGGGAGUACGACCGCAAGGUUGAAACUCAAAGGAAUUGACGGGGACCCGCACAAGCGGUGGAGCAUGUGGUUUAAUUCGAAGCAACGCGAAGAACCUUACCAAAUCUUGACAUCCUUUGACAACUCUAGAGAUAGAGCUUUCCCCUUCGGGGGACAAAGUGACAGGUGGUGCAUGGUUGUCGUCAGCUCGUGUCGUGAGAUGUUGGGUUAAGUCCCGCAACGAGCGCAACCCUUAAGCUUAGUUGCCAUCAUUAAGUUGGGCACUCUAAGUUGACUGCCGGUGACAAACCGGAGGAAGGGGGGGAUGACGUCAAAUCAUCAUGCCCCUUAUGAUUUGGGCUACCCCCGUGCUACAUGGACAAUACAAAGGGCAGCGAAAC
This 1210-nucleotide ribosomal RNA is filed under the name Staphylococcus aureus. RNAcentral describes it as "bacterial SSU rRNA". It matches the Rfam family "Bacterial small subunit ribosomal RNA", at positions 64 to 1255 of the family's 1533-position model. The record is from RNAcentral. Lineage: Bacteria; Bacillati; Bacillota; Bacilli; Caryophanales; Staphylococcaceae.